UUCCAGACUCCUACGGGAGGCAGCAGUGAGGAAUAUUGGUCAAUGGUCGGGAGACUGAACCAGCCAAGCCGCGUGAGGGAGGAAGGUACAGAGUAUCGUAAACCUCUUUUGUCAGGGAACAAAGACUGGGACGCGUCCCCGGAUGAGUGUACCUGAAGAAAAAGCAUCGGCUAACUCCGUGCCAGCAGCCGCGGUAAUACGGAGGAUGCGAGCGUUAUCCGGAUUUAUUGGGUUUAAAGGGUGCGCAGGCGGCCUGUUAGGUCCGGGGUAAAAGCCGGGGGCCCAACCCCGGCGAGCCGUUGAAACUGGCGGGCUGGAGUUGGAGAGAAGUACGCGGAAUGCGCGGUGUAGCGGUGAAAUGCUUAGAUAUCGCGCAGAACCCCGAUUGCGAAGGCAGCGUACCGGCUCCACACUGACGCUGAGGCACGAAAGCGUGGGUAUCGAACAGGAUUAGAUACCCUAGUAA
RNAcentral lists this ribosomal RNA (466 nucleotides) under uncultured bacterium. RNAcentral's name for it is "bacterial SSU rRNA". It matches the Rfam family "Bacterial small subunit ribosomal RNA", at positions 329 to 793 of the family's 1533-position model. The record is from RNAcentral.